GACGUAGGGCGCGAGCGUUGUCCGGAUUUAUUGGGCGUAAAGAGCGUGUAGGCGGCCAGGUAGGUCUGCUGUGAAAACUCGAGGCUUAACCUCGAGCUGUCGGCGGAAACCAUCUGGCUAGAGUCCGGAAGAGGAGAAUGGAAUUCCCGGUGUAGCGGUGAAAUGCGCAGAUAUCGGGAAGAACACCCGUGGCGAAGGCGGUGCUCUGGGCCUUACCUGACGCUCAGGCGCGAAAGCUAGGGGAGCGAACUGG
Molecule: ribosomal RNA, 253 nt
Filed under: uncultured bacterium
Lineage: Bacteria
Description: partial 16S ribosomal RNA
Rfam family: Bacterial small subunit ribosomal RNA
Source: RNAcentral